UAAGAUGGACCAACCCAUCCAUAAAAAAACAAAACAAAAAAUGGCACAUCAGCUUUCUGAUUUUGUACCGGGCCCAAUUACGACUAAUUAUAGUCGUAAGUAUGCUAUGGGGUUGCGUAAUUCCUUAUGUUGUCCUAUCCGCCGCUUGAGCCCUAUUCCAGCUAAAAAAUAUUGUCGAUUCCAGUGUUGAAUCCACACUUCAUCAUGCUUAUUCUUUGGAUCAUCAAUACUUUGCCUUGGAUAAAUGUUGUUGCUGCUCUUUUAAUCUUUCAGAAGUAAGAAUCUUCUUUUUGAUUGAAUUUGCUUCUUUCUUUUCAACGCAUUUUCUCUCUGUUAAUACUCAUUUUCUCCCUUAUGCUUGGUAUCAGCUGUGUUCUUCGGUGGAUGAAAAAUUUCUCAUUUUUUGGUGUUAAUCUAAGGGUUUUAGGUCUCUGGAGAAAGCUACAUCUCAAAGUAAGUUGUACCUUCAGCUUCCUCUCAUCUUCCCCUACUGUAGACUCCUAUUAAUUCAAUUUUGGUUGCAGUUACGGCCGGUGGGGAGAUAUUGGGAUGCUCGAAACCAUAAGAAUUUGAGUUGUAUUCUUCUUCUCAGGUGUAUUAGUUGCACUGAUCCCACAUGACCCUCUCCUUUUGUUGCGAGUCCUUUUUUAUGGUUGAGAUUGUAUAGACUAGUCAGCUUGUCUAAGUUUUUGUUGCCCUCUUGAGUUGUAAAUAGAUGCAUGUGAUAUCUGAUAGCUCUGUUAGCUAUAGCCAUCAGCCUUUUCAUCCCUUUGUUGAUGAUAGUCGUAUGUAUGGACAUUGAAGCUUGCCACUAUUUAGAAUCUUCUUUCCUUUAACUUCUAAUUGCUGGAAUGAUGUAAUACUGAACUCCCCUUUAUCUAUGGCUAGAUUUGUUAAAUGAUUAGCCAAUUGGUUCCCUUCCCUCAUGAUAUGUUGAAACUGUACUUGCUUAUCUGUCAAUAUUGUUCUAAUAUGCUCUAUAGAAUCUAGCAAAUUCCAUGGGCAUUUCCAUUCUUUAUUCAGUAUUUUCUGCAGAAUAAGAGAGUCAGUUUGAAUUAUGACCUUGUUGAAAUGUGUCUGUCCACAAUGAAUAGCUGUCUGUAGUAUAGCAGAUGUUUCUUCUUCUACAUUAGUAGUAUCCUCAAUCGUAGAGCCCUGUGUAUAUAUUAGACCCCCUCUUUCAUCUCUUAGGCAAAAAGCAUAGGAGCUCACAGCUGGACUACCUCUAGAAGCUCCAUCUGUGUUGUAUUUAAUCCACACUUCCUCUGGAAAUUUCCAUUCUACCUUUGUAAUCUUCACCUUGGAUCUUCUUUGUUCCAAUUCUUGCAGUAUUUCCGGCCAUGCAGUAGGAAAGACUUGUCUUGGGUUCCUCACUUUGAGUAAUAUCCAAUAUUUCUGGUGAUAUUGAAUAUUACUCUGUGAGUUGACACAGUCUUUUCAUCAUGCUUUGAGUUGUUCCUUCUCUUCCACAGUUUCUAAAUUAUCAUGCUGGGGAUGGAUUAAUAAUAAGUUCUAGCUCUUCCCCUCACAUCAGCAUUCCACCAAGCCAAAAUAAGUUCUCUGAGACUAUAGUCAUUCACAUUAGUACCUGCAAAAGAGGAAAAAUAGGACCAAGUCCUGUUAACAGUGCCUGAUCUCAGAAACACAGGAGAGAUGGUUUCUUGAUCAGUAAUAGUGCAACACCAGCAUCUAGUAGGACCUUCAAUUCCCCAUAUUUUCAGAUUAUCAUCAACAAGAACCUUUCCUUUCCAAAUUAUCCACAUUAAGAAUGUCAUUUUAAAUGAUAAUCCUCUAAGCCAGAUAUUUUUGAAAGUAAAAUUCUUGUCCUCUCUCUGUCUAAUGUAUUGCCAAGCUAAUUUAACUGUGAACUUUCCUGUUGAUUCAAGCUUCCAUACCGGACUAUCUUACCCUUCAUCCUGACUGGGAGUUUAACUGUAUGUAUGAUGUGAUCAGCCACCUCCUGAGGAAAUAACUGAGAAAUCACUUGAGUAUUCCAAGCUCUUUUUUGAAUUAUGUCCUUCACCGUUUGAUAUUUGUCAUCCCAUUCUCUGGUAGCCUUCAGCAUAUUAUACAAAUCCCCUACAUCAAUCCAAUUGUCAAACCAUAUACUUGUAUUCCCGAUUCUCCAUAAUAUUUGAUGUUCCACUAAAUCCCUUGCUUGCAAUAUCUUUUUCCGCACUUGUGACCCUGAUCCUGAUUUCCACACUAUCUCAUUUAGGUUCUUCUUCUUACAAUACUUGUUGUGCAUAUAUCUACUCUAUAUUGAAUCUUUUGUUCUAAAAUUCCACCAAAACUUGCAAAUAGAGCCAUAGACACAUCAUGAAUCUUUCUGAAUCCAAGUCCUCCUCCUUCCUCUGGAACAUAAAGAUUAUUCCAUUUAACCCACUGCCCAUUUCUCCCACCUAUAUGACUGGUCCAGAAAAAUUAAGCAAAUAUUUUUUGAAUUGUAGUAAUGACAUUCAAAGAAGGGCUCAUCACUGAUAGGCAGUGGAUGGGUAUACUUUGUAGGACAUGUUUGAUGAGAAUAGCUCUUCCCCCAUAUGAUAACAACUUCCUUUUCCAACCUUGUAACAUUUCACUAAUUUUAGUCAUGAUAGAUUGAUAGAAAUCCCUCUUUUUCCUCAUAUGAAAAAUAGGGCAUCCAUAGUAAGUGUAAUCACUUCUGCCAUUACUACCACACAUUGAGACACUCCCUUGUGCAAAUAAAUUACACUCAUUAUUAACCUUCUGUCCUGGCAUUCUCUCAUACCUCUCUAAUGUACCUAUCACCCUCUGCAAAGUAUGAAUUUUAGCUUUGCAUAAUGUUAUCAAGUCAUCCACAAAGGCAAAAUGAUUUACCUUUGGACUUUCUAUCGGUAUUCCAAACAACUUAAAUUCUUUGGUAAGAGCCAAAGCUUUUAAGGAUCUAGACAUCACCUCUGCAACUAAAAUAAAAAGAGUAGGGGAUAGGGGAUCCCCCCUACUUCAACCCUCUAUAAGAUUUGAAAAAUCCCUUUGGCUGCCCAUUUAGCAGAAUAGAAUAUCAAUUGUUUCCCACCAGUCUAUAUACCAUAUCUAUCAUCAAUUCACUAAAUCCAACCCUUCUUAGCACUUUAGUGAGAAACAACCUAUCAACUAUAUCCAUAGGCUUUCAUCAUGUCAAGUUUGAUUACUAAGUUAGGAAUAUUACCCCUCUUUCUUAUAUCUGCAAUGAUUUUCUGGACCACCAAAAUAUUCUCAGUAAUGCUUCUCCCUUGAACAAAACCAGCAUGUUCUUCAGAAAUGAUAUCUGGUAAAAUGCUCUUGAUUCUCUCAUGAAUAAUUCUUGAAAAAUCUUAUUAACAAAAUUACUUAAUGAAAUUGGUCUCAUAUCAUAAAAAGUAUUCACAAUUAACUUUUUGGGUAAAAGAACAAAAUUUGUAUGAGUAACAAAUUUUGGUUGCUCAAACCCACAAAAGAAAGCUAUUCCAUAUUAUGUACAUCUUUGCCUAUAAUGUCCCAAGCAUCCUAGAUAAAAGCUCCAGUCAUACCAUCUGGACCUCUUGGACUAUUUCUGUUUAGCCCUAUACCAACUUCCUUUACCUCUUGAAUUUCUAGUAUUCUAUUUAAUUCUUUAUUUUACUCUUCAUUCACCAUUGUUGGUAGUUCAUUUAGCAUAUCAAAAUCUGCAUUGUCUUUUCCUUUUGAAAAUUGUCGCUGAAAGAAAGUUAUUGCAGCUUCUGCAAUUUCAUUUUGGUGUUUCGGCCAAUCACCCUCUCCAUUCUGUAUUCUUGCUACUUUAGCCUGUUUCUUCUUCCCUUCACCACAGUAUGAAAGAACUUGGUGUUUCUUUCUCCAUCUUUAAACCACUCUAAUCUAGACUUCUAUUUUCAAAAAUCUUCUUCUCUUCUCAAUUGGAGAUUUAACUCUGCUUAUGCUUUAAACAGAUUUUCUCUAUUACUCUCUGAUGGAAGUUCCUCAAAUUGUUUCUCCUUUACUCUAAUAACUUCCUCCAGAGUAGCAAUCUCCUGGAAAACGAUACCAAAGUACUACUUACUCCACUUAGUUAAAGUAAUUUUAACCUUCUUUGACUUAUGAUGAAAUAUGAUAAAAGGAUUUCCUACUACCUUAGUUUUCCAAUUCUCCCUUAUUACCUCUAAACAUGUUUUCUCCUUCAACCACAUAUUAAGAAACCUGAAAGGUUUAGAAAUAUAUUCAUUGACAGUACUGAAAUGAAAAAGUUCUUGCAACUUUUCAUUGCACAGUACUCUAUCUAGCCUUUUAAAAAUACAUUCCUUAUCAGUCCUUCCAUUCCAUCAUGUAUAUUUACUCCCUUUAAAACCAGGAUCCUCAAAACUACAUGGAUUAAUGCAUUGUUUAAAGUCUUCUGUCUCAUCUACAGUAACUGGUAUACCCCCUAAUUUCUCCUCUUCACUUAUAAUCACAUUAAAGUCUCCACCUAUCAACCAUGGAUCAUGAAUUUUUUUAGCCAUCUCCUCCAGUGAAUCCCAUAAAAUUAGUCUCUCCACUUGAGUACAUUUAGUGUACACCAAUGUAACUAUAAUUGUAACAUUAGAUUCUUGAUUUACCAACUUCAUAGUCAGUUGUUGGUCUUUUCUUUUAUUACAGAAACAUUUACCACACCAUCAAUAAAUGCCCAUAUUUUUCCUGAUGUAUUAAAUGUUGCAUGUUGCAUUUCUAAUCUCCUCUUGUAUUCAUCAAUAUUGUGGUUAUCCUGGAAAGAUUCCAUUAAACCUAUAAAUGAAAUAUGAUGCCUUUUUGCAAUGUGAUCAGUCUGGUGAAUGUAUUUUGUGCAUUUAUUGAUCUAAUAUUCCAAAUUAGAGCAUUCAUCUAUACUUAUUCUUUAAGGAGCUUCUAGUUUGCAUUGAAGUAGCUUUAGCCCCUUUGUCUUUCCUUCUUUGUAUGCCUUGAGUAUCUUUUAAUUUUUCUAUCUGUCUAGGAGACAAAUUUCCUUCAGUUCCAAUCUUUUCUAUAUUCUUCCCCAAAUCUACUUCAUCCAAGAAUGCUUUCUCUUCAUUGUUGUAUUCAAUCUGGUGUUCUACUUGAAUUGCUAAAGGUAAAAUAUCUUCUAUUACCUUUACUUCUUCCUCCCCCUUCUUAAACUCUAUAUCUAACUGUAUUAAUUCUUCUUUCUUCUGUACUUCUUUCUGUUCUACAUUGCAUCCUUGUUGACUGAAAUAUUGUCUUUAUGUUCAACCUUUUCUGCCUGUGCUCUAUCUCCCUCUUCAUCUGGACCUACUUCCAAUGCUUUAUAUUGAGAUACUUUCGGAAAGCUAUUGGUUACCCACUCUUUAGUACUUUAUUUACUUUGUUUCUCCUCAUCUCUCUUAGCAUUAUCUUUGUCUUCUUCUUCAUGUAUCUCCUAUGUAAGCACAUCAAAGGUAUUUGCAACUGGAAUACCUAUCUGAUAUGUUCCUUCAAUAAGAAUGUGCCUAGAGUCUAAUACUUCUAUGUUACAAUCUCCUUUGAUUCCACAUUGAAUUGGAAUACUCUUUCUCAGCUCCAUUAUAUCUGAUUUCCCAUACAAAAAUUUACCAAUUACAGCAAAUUGUAAUUUUCCUGAAUGAUUAAGCUUUUUAUUUCUGAUGAUUUCCAUGUUAUACUCGGUUCACCCUAAAUGUUACCACUGGUUUAGGAGAAAUCCUUUCCAUACUGCUUUCACAAUUUCUAGGUUUCGAUAGAUUAGUGUAUGUCAUCUUCUUGUUAGCAUCUCUGUGAUUUUCCACAUUAACAUUAACUUCUUUCUCAUUCUGAGUGUUUGCCGAUGGGUCAACCCCACCGGAGGUGGUGGCCAUGAUGGCCGCUUUCGUAUAAUAGAUUUUUGUAUUAGGGUUAGGGUUUAGCUAGAGAGCGCUCAAGACCGUUACUCUUUCAUGAUUAUCGUUUUUUAUAUAUAUAUAAUGCGUAUCCUACCCACCUUUCUAUCAAGGUUCAUGUCUUUCGUAAUUCGUAAGCUGUAAUCAGGAGCAGACCAACCUUGAUACAAAAAGUGUCACCCGACACCGCUUCGUUGAAAAAAAAAAUUUAGAUAUACUUAUAAAAACUUGAAAAAAAUAAAAUAAAGGAUAAAAUUGAUAUCAAUAACACUACUUGUCGACUAGAUACUAAUUGACUCAGUUUUAAAAGGAUUAGUAUUUCCUCUGCAGUGGGCAUGGAUUUAAUUCUGAAUGAGUUGCUUUGAUUACUUGUGAAGCUUAAUCAUUCUCCUCUUAAAUUUUUAACAUUUUCACGUGAAGUUUUCUUACUUCUUUUUCCUUCUUUUUAGAUAGAAUUUUAAUAACUUGAAGAAAUUUAUUGUUUUGUUAUUUAUUACAUUUUUAUGAAAGUGCUUAGGAUUAAUAAAUUAAACUUUUAGUUUGUAAUUUUGUGAAAAAUUAAUUACUUGGUGGGUGUUAUUUUUUUUAUUAUUUAGUGGUGUAGUAUCCCAUUUUAUUGUUUGUUUUAUGUUUUUUAUUUGUCAUACAUUUAUUUGUCCCGAGCCGGGGUCUAUUAGAAAGAGUCUCUCUAUCUCAUUUUAGGUAGUGAUAUGUACUACAUAUACUUCAACUUCUUCAGACCAUAUUUUGUGGGAAUACACUGAAUAUAUUAUUAUUGUUGUUAUUGUUGAAUUAUGAAGUUUCAUUUUUAAAUUCCUGUAAAUUAAGACAAAUUAUAUAUUCGGCAGGGGUGGAGCUACAACCUAUCAAGGGUGGUCAAGCAUUCUGAACAUUCUUUACAUUGUAUAUAUAAGUAAAAUGCUGCUCUAUUUUAUUAAAUAUCAUGUGUUUUGAUAGAUCUGAAAGAAAUAGCUCAGGGGUAGAAGGUGAUUAGCAAGUGCCAAGGGCACUGCGUGCAUGGGUUCAAAACCCACCGGCUGCUAAAUACUUUUACCUUUUUAGCAUUUUCAAAGGAGCUCCUAUUUUAUUGAACACCCUUCUUAAAAUUUUUAGCUCCGUAGGUGAUUUCUUUUCAUGUCUUAUUCUCAAUAAAUACAAUUACCUGAUAUAUGUUGUUUAUGAAGGACGACAUGUAUAUAGUGGAACUAAUAAAAAUGUGUGCAAGCUGUUUCAAACAUCAUAAUUAUAAAAAAAAAUCUUUUUUUCUUUUACAAUUCGUAUGAACAUCGCGCAUUAGAAACUCGGAGAUCCUUCCGCUUGAAACUAAGAAAACACCCAAUCAAAUACUCUCUUCGUUCCAUUUUACUCGUUCGAAUUUGAUAUUGCACAUUAAGAAAAAUAAUUAAUAACAUAGCUACUUUAUCAUAGUACCCCUAUUAAAUUAAAUGAUGUUUAUAUUUUAAUUUGAAGAAAAAACAAUUAAUACUAAGGAUAAAAAAAAAAAUUAUAUUGUCUUGAUUAAUGAAAAAUAACAAAUAAAAUGAGAAAUUAAAUUAAAAAUUUUGGGGCGAGUAAAAUAGAACGGAGGGGAUACUUCUGAAAACAUGGAGGGCAACGAACCGA
This 7418-nucleotide long non-coding RNA is filed under the name Capsicum annuum. RNAcentral describes it as "long non-coding RNA (CANN_LNC001212)". Lineage: Eukaryota; Viridiplantae; Streptophyta; Magnoliopsida; Solanales; Solanaceae. The record is from RNAcentral.